RNAcentral lists this ribosomal RNA (497 nucleotides) under uncultured bacterium. RNAcentral's name for it is "partial 16S ribosomal RNA". It matches the Rfam family "Bacterial small subunit ribosomal RNA", at positions 28 to 507 of the family's 1533-position model. The record is from RNAcentral.
GAUGAACGCUGGCGGCGUGCCUAAUACAUGCAAGUCGAGCGAACAGACGAGGAGCUUGCUCCUCUGGCGUUAGCGGCGGACGGGUGAGUAACACGUGGAUAACCUACCUAUAAGACUGGGAUAACUUCGGGAAACCGGAGCUAAUACCGGAUAAUAUAUUGAACCGCAUGGUUCAAUAGUGAAAGACGGUUUUGCUGUCACUUAUAGAUGGAUCCGCGCCGCAUUAGCUAGUUGGUAAGGUAACGGCUUACCAAGGCAACGAUGCGUAGCCGACCUGAGAGGGUGAUCGGCCACACUGGAAUUGAGACACGGUCCAGACUCCUACGGGAGGCAGCAGUAGGGAAUCUUCCGCAAUGGGCGAAAGCCUGACGGAGCAACGCCGCGUGAGUGAUGAAGGUCUUCGGAUCGUAAAACUCUGUUAUUAGGGAAGAACAAAUGUGUAAGUAACUAUGCACGUCUUGACGGUACCUAAUCAGAAAGCCACGGCUAACUACGUG